Molecule: ribosomal RNA, 403 nt
Filed under: uncultured bacterium
Lineage: Bacteria
Description: partial 16S ribosomal RNA
Rfam family: Bacterial small subunit ribosomal RNA
Source: RNAcentral
AUUGAACGCUGGCGGCAGGCCUAACACAUGCAAGUCGAGCGAGCGGCGGACGGGUGAGUAAUGUAUGGGGACUGCCCGAUAGAGGGGGAUAACUACUGGAAACGGUAGCUAAUACCGCAUACUAUCGGAUAACCCAUAUGGGAUUAGCUAGUUGGUGAGGUAAUGGCUCACCAAGGCGACGAUCCCUAGCUGGUCUGAGAGGAUGAUCAGCCACACUGGGACUGAGACACGGCCAAGACUCCUCCGGAGGAAGCAGUGGGGAAUAUUUGACAAUGGGCGAAAGCCUGAUACAGCCAUGCCGCGUGUAUGAAGAAGGCCCUAGGGUUGUAAAGUACUUUUAGCCGGGAGGCGUUACCGACAGAAGAAGCACCGGCUAACUCCGUGCCAGCAGCCGCGGUAAUAC